AUGCACCUCAGGCAGCAGCAGCAGCAGCACCACAGGGCGGAGAUGGUGGCGCCCAAGGGGUGCGUGACGGUGCGCGUGGGGGCGGAGGGGGAGGAGCAGCGCCGCUUCGCCGUGCCGCUCGACCACCUCAAGCACCCGCUCUUCGGGGCCCUGCUCGAUGAGGCCGAACGCGAGUACGGCUUCAGGCACCAGGGCGCCAUCGCCAUCCCCUGCCGCGUCGACCGCUUCGUCCACGUCGAGCGCCUCAUCGACCGCGACCUCGGCGCGCACGGCCACCAGCUCGUCGACCUCGACUGCGGCGCCGCCACCGCCCACGGCCACGGCCACCUCCACCUGCCGCGCUUCGUCGGCUGCUUCCGCGCCUGA
Molecule: ribosomal RNA, 366 nt
Filed under: Triticum aestivum (bread wheat)
Lineage: Eukaryota; Viridiplantae; Streptophyta; Magnoliopsida; Poales; Poaceae
Description: partial small subunit ribosomal RNA
Source: RNAcentral